Molecule: long non-coding RNA, 326 nt
Filed under: Vigna radiata
Lineage: Eukaryota; Viridiplantae; Streptophyta; Magnoliopsida; Fabales; Fabaceae
Description: long non-coding RNA (VRAD_LNC015618)
Source: RNAcentral
UUACUAGAGUCCUUAGAUCAAAAUCACUCUUAAAUCCACUUAAGUCUUAAAGACAACAAAGAAAACACAAAGCAAAGAAAGGACACAACCUAAACUCUAAAUUCGGACCCCUAAAAGAGCUUCCUAUUCGCACAAGAUAUAUGCUAUCUAGUCGAGAAUUGGAAAAACAAUUAAAGUGAGGUCUCCUAGGUGAGGCUUAGACUUUGGAUCUAAGACACACUCACCGACUACUCAAUUUUAGGUUGUGAGACUUCUUUGAGUCUAGUUACAAAUGAGGGAAGAGCACUUGUGAACUCUAUCACCUCACUUGCUUGGAUUUGGAACUU